RNAcentral lists this long non-coding RNA (1885 nucleotides) under Daphnia pulicaria. RNAcentral describes it as "uncharacterized LOC124338026". The record is from RNAcentral. Lineage: Eukaryota; Metazoa; Arthropoda; Branchiopoda; Diplostraca; Daphniidae.
GUUGUCAAAGAUUAGACUGUGCUGGAAACGGAAGUGGUACAGCCAGGAUGUGAUGACAACCACCACCAGGGUGAUUAAGCUAAAACUUCACGUUCCGUUUAACUUCAUCAAAACUGCUUGUGUGGUUCAGCGUGGACUCUAGUUGACGAGUAUAAGAUGCACCGAUUUUUAAUUCGCCUAUUAAUGGCCGGAUGAUUUGCGGAAUGCCUGACAAAGGAGACAGGGUCCUAUUUCCUACCUAUUUUACAAAGUUCGAUUAGUAAUGCAUAAGUUUGUAUGUCUGUGGUUUUCCAAUUUACCUUUUUUAUUACACCGCAUAUUUCCGCUGUAAACUUGCACAAAUCAGAGGAAAACAAAUUACAAACGUCCGUCAAUUUGACCUUGUCGACAUGAUCCGCAACAUCCAACCCGAUUUUCUUAACUUCGUUGAUUACAUUUUCACCAACGUUGGUAAUGAUAUCGGGUAACCAGCUUCGUUUCUUCCUUCGAAAAACCCCUCGACCUUUGAUCAAAUUAAUGCAUUCCUUCUUCAGGCUGUCCAUUUUCGUCUGGCAAUUACCAUUUACCGAUGUCAUUGUCUCCCGGCAUCGAUUCAUUUGAAGAUUGAGGUCGUUGAGAGUCGAAUCGAAUGAAUCUGAAGUCUUCUUUAGGAAAUCAUCAAAGGAAUCAAUUGAGUGCUGGACUGAUUCGACCAAAUUUACAUAAUUGGCCAAGCUAUCUCCUACUUGUGUGCUCAUAUCUCUCAUCGAUUCUGUGUAGCGUUCCGAUGCCAAUCUUGUUUGAUUAAAGGCUGCUUCACCGAAACAAAUCAGUGACUGAGUCGUCUGUUUAAAGUUGUAAUUCAAAUUAGCGGCCGGUCCGGCUAAGAGCAUGCUUGCCAACAAGGCCAAUAGAGAAGAUUUCCCUAAUCGCGUUCCUAACGAAGGAAUGAGCAGGGAUACAAUGCAGCGAGCUGAUUGAGAAAAUGCCAAUAGGAUUGAAAUUCCAAUAGCAACAACUCCACCAGUGAUUCCGGCCACCCUGUCUUCGAUGUUGUGGCGAUAGUGCAGUAAGAAAAAGAAAACUGUUCCAACCAACAAAGAUUUGGUUUGAGAUGCGGAAGACGUCCGUUUUACAUACUGCUGACCUUGCCUUACUUCCAAUGCUGCUUCAUCGUUUUGUAGAAUGGGAACUUCCGCUUGAGCUUCCGUUUGCGACGUCAUGGGAAUUUUUUCUGCAGCAGAGAUCUCUUUUAUUGAUGCUUUUUUGCACGACACUAAUGCGCUUCAAUCUGUCACUCUAAUCCAAUCGUUUGAAACUGCAUGGGUGACAAAACAUUUCUGAAUAGACUUUCGUUAUCUUCAACGUUUCCUUCUGCUUGGUGGUUUGUUUUGGUGUCGGUUUUAUUUCUCAACUUAUUAUAAGAUAACAAAAGAAAAAUCAGAGAUAUACAGUAAUUAUUUCAGAUAUAAAUAUUUAUUAACAAGAUUUUGCUGCGAGUCAACCUUUCUUAGGGAAUUCUUAAUGAAAUUUUUAAGUGCUAGAAAAUUUUCUGGAAAAGGCGAGAAAACGCCCUUGAUUCGAAAUAAGCUCAAUUAAUGUUUUGUUUUGCUUGAGCGCCAGCUAGUGUUUUUUAAAAUUACAUUAUACAACCAGCUGCCUGUUAUUCAUAUGGAAAAACUCAACAGGAAGCGGAAGAAUUGCGCAAAUAUUUAAAACACGGUCUUUUAUGGGACUUGCCGUUUUAAGACUGAAGAAUGUGUUUUUUAAUGCUAACUUGAUAGUUUUUUUCUGUUUUACGUGUGUUGGUGGAAAAAAGUGACAAACUUAAUUUACAGUAAAUUUUCACGUUUCAAAGGAGAAUCCGUUACAAAGAACCGCUGUUCCAAUACAUCUGUCAUCAUGA